Molecule: long non-coding RNA, 2241 nt
Organism: Malurus melanocephalus (red-backed fairy wren)
Lineage: Eukaryota; Metazoa; Chordata; Aves; Passeriformes; Maluridae
Exons: 4
Source: RefSeq, a predicted model, not a curated record
ACAGAGGGGUUUUUAAUACUGUUUUUCACUUCUGCCUGACUAAAUGAUUCUCAAGUGGCAUUCACCACUGUUUUAAUUAAACGUGUCUCAUGAUUUAGAAAUUAUAAGCUUCUACUUUGAGGAAAUGCCAUGGUAAACUUUUAUUUUGGCAGGGGGAAGCAAAACUGAUUAGUAGAAGGAUAGUGUCUGUUAACAGACAGAGAAGUGGGAAGAGUUCAGAAAGUGCAGCUGGGGGGACUAACCCCAGCAGUAGCGCCUGCACACUAAUCCCUCACAACCCUUUGCCACAGAGGUUGGCUCUGCAGCUACUGCCUGAACUAGAUGAUAAGAUGUGCACUGCAGCUGAAUUACUUGGUUAUUGUCAUCUCCUCAGUGCUUCCCAGAACUCCGAUGGAGAGCAGGAAACCAGCUAUCAUUGAACAUCCCUUGAAGUGCCUCCUUAGGCCACCCCACAUGCUUCAGGUGGCCCAGAAGGGUCCAUUCUGGCACCACCAGCACAGGAGACCGCAGUCAGAGCCAGGAACCACCAGCUCCUCAUCAGUCCCACACAGCAACAGACCAUGACAAAGAUUAUAUAAAAGCUUUACGUGUACAAGCUAAGGAUUGGAAUUUUUUCAGCUGUUUCACUUGGGCUCCUGCUUGGCACUCCUUCUUAGUGACCAGCUGUGGCUUCUCCAUAUUCACAAGAAGAAACCUGCAUUUGUGGCUCUUUAAGAAGGUAUGACCCUGACUCUCCAAGGACUGGGACAUACAGCUGACAUGAGACCACACCGACCWAAAAUCAGGUCUCAGAUUUCAUCAGCGGCAGACUGGUAUUACCCUAAAGUGCUGGAGGAUUGUUUGAUCACUGUGAGGAGCUCCUCCUACGCCUGCAAGUAUCAGGGAGAAGGCUGUGACACCGACUUUGGAAAGGUGUACUCAUCCUACAUCUCAGAAAAUCUGCUUGCCUGCUUCUAAAAUGAGCUAAAACAUAAGAUGACUUCUCAAACACAGGUGGUUGUAAAAGACUUUGAAAAGUGGUUUUGAAUAGUACUGGAGGUAAUCCAAAGCCAAAUUUAAUAGGAAUUUUCUGUCUUAGCUGCUACAAAUUCAUCAAGAGCGCGUAUGUGUUCUGAAGGUCUUCUUAGGCACCUUACAAUAUAGAAGAAACUUUCAGUGCAUAAUUUGAAACUUCAGCGCAUCCUUAAUGAGGAUGCAACUGAAAUAAAAUUACUUCCAAGGUCAGUAUUAAUCUAGUAUUUUUGGACCCAGACUGCAAGGCCUGUGCUUGAGCAGAAAAAAGAUAGUUGAUGCUCUCUGUUGAGGAACCAGGGCARGGGGGUGUAAAUGGUCAAACAGAAACAUGAUGCCUUCUCCAGUGUCCUGUCAUUGGUGGCUCUGGAAGAGAGAGGGGCUGGCUGGCAGGAACACCCUGUCCAUUGGGCCGUACUGCCUCCCAGUGGGCAUCAGCUACUUCUCUUUCGGGAUAAAACGCAGAGGGAUUUAAAAUGCCUGGCACAGAAGCCACUGUCCUCGAACAGCUAAUGGGGGAGUUCACAGACAGCGGGAUUUUGGGUAUCUAAAACCAAAAUGACAAAACUCUUGAUCAUCUACCAUGUGUGUAGCACUCUGUGAAAUCACAGGUGUGAGCCUUUGCCUAUGGCUUUGUGCAGAACAUUACACCUUCAUGAAAAAAAUAAAAAACAAAACAAAACCAAAACCRAUUUUGGCAGGCAACCUUCCAAAUGUGGGUUCUCAUCAUACCAACUUGCACGCAGAGCUCUGUCCCCACCACUCUCACCUCUGAGAAGCAGCAGCAGAGCAGUAUCACGUCCUGUGGCUCUGGAAAAUUUAAUUGUGCCCUCCAUGCAGUGCUAGGAGUAACUUACUUUUUCUUCUUACUUUWCUUGUGUGUGCUGAGAGCAACAGGACAUUAAAAAGGAAUGACAAAAAUGAAGAAUGAAACAACAUGAAGAAAGAGCACUGUUUGCUGCAGCAAGGUCUCCACAAAGGAGUGAAGAAAGAGUUGGGAAAAUGCUUCUAUACUUCUUUGACUGUGAAAUUUUACUUUGACUGUUCUUCUGAAGCCUACACACACAUUCCAUUUGUCUAUGUCUCAUACUUUCAUUGUACAGAAUGGGAGAGAAAAAAAAAAUCACGCAGUGCUAUAGCACAAAUUAUAUGAAUAAACAAAGAGUUUUGUGUCUAGGUGUGUCCAGCUACAAAGGUCACUUAGGUGUGGGGUGUUUUUCUCCAAAGUUA